AAAUUGUCAGUGUUCAGUGACUGUUUUUUUCCAUGCUGAUAAACUAUUACACAGAAAAGGAAAAUUUUCGUGCUGAUAAACUAUUACACAGAAAAAGAAAUGUAUCCAUAAUGGACAAUUAAAAGGGCUAUACAAUCUCUCUCACUGUAUGAUUCUGGUUUUUUUCUUUUUCUUUUCUUUUUUUCUUUUUUUUAAGACAGGAUCUCACUCUGUCACCCAGGCUGGAAUGCAGUGGCUCUAUCUUGGCACACUGCAACCUCAGCCUCCUGGGUUCAAGCUAUUCUCCUGCCUUAGCCUCCUGAGUAGCUAGGACUAGACGCAUUCACCACCACGCCCAGCUAAUUUGUGCAUUUUAAAAAUACAGGUGGGGUUUUGCCAUGUUGCCCAGGCUGGUCUUGAACUCCUGACCUCAAAUGAUCCUCCCACCUCGGCCUCCCUAAAUGUUGGCAUUACAGGCAUAAGCCACCAGGCUUGGCCUGAUUCUGUUUUUUAACACAAUUCCUAUUACUUCUGUUUUAAUUUUACAAAGCCAUAGGUUUUUAAUCUGAGAAACCUUUGAGAAAGCAUCCAGAUAAAUUUAUAAAUAGAAAAAUAAAUUCAGAUACAUAGAAUUAAGUUUAUGAUCUAAUUAGUGGGUGGCAACUGAAAAAUUUUCAAGUUCCAUAAACUGAAGUGAAAGGAUCACUUUCCUGAAAAUAUUACAAAGGCUUGAUAAUUACCUGGAUUGUACUAAAACCUACACAAUCUAGUAUAUUCUAUAGCAGCAAUUCAUAAAGACAGCUUCACUUACCAUGUAGAAUUUAUACGUACACUAAAUUUAAGGAAUGCAUUACUUGUUAUUGGAGAAGGAUAAUAACUCACAGCCGAACUGAUUUGCAUGAAUGCCUAUUAAACUAUCAUCGAUGUAGAAAUUAAAAGUUAAGCUAUUCAGCCCCAGAUGUGUGAGAGACAGAGAAAAUCUUCAAAAGAGUUCAGCUACCAAAUCUCUUCCUCAAUAGCUCUUUGAGUCUCCAGACAGUUUCAACCACACACAGCCUCAGAGUCUUAUGGUCCAAACAACAAUUGACUGCAGCUCUAAAGUAAGAAAACAUUUGAAAAGAAACAAUCAAAGAUCUAUGCCAAGUUAUGGUCAAGGAGGUCCACCUACUGGUGGGUGAGCAUGGCAAGGAUAGGGACUAAGCCAAAUGAUGGGUUUACCAAAACAGAAACAAGAGAAGCCAAUGGAAACAGAGUCCAGGUUAUAACAGGAGCCCAGGCACUUGAUGUGGGAACUCUAUUUGUCUCAUUUAGCAGCUAGAGUUUUAACGUCCUAUGAGGCACAGCUAAUGCCCUUCAUUAUUAUUUUUUGUAAUUGACUGCAUAGUUUAGAACUAUGCCUUGAAUUUAAUAUCUGUCUGUUGAAGAAGAGAAUAAUGAUGAAAAUCUGUCCACAGGUUCUGUGCAGUACUGAAGAGCAACUUCAGCUCUUGAGUUACAGCUCAAUGCAACCUCCUGGCAGGCCAGCCUUAAGCCCAGCAGUCCAACCAUGCAUCUAAGCUGAGUUCUCAUCAGAGCCAACUUCAAUUAUAAACAACUGAGAUGAUGCCAGAGGCCAGAAUCCCUGAGAACCCAAUUUGCUGUCAUCACCAUGGCUGAAACAAGGUGCUUGGCAUCUAGAAAAGGUGACCUUCAUAAUGCAGGCAAUAGAGAAUUGCAAGAUUUGUCAGAGAUUUCAGGUCUUUGGAAAGCUAUGCUCUUUCACAAGAACAGCCAUGGAAACAGGAAGAAAGUCAAUUCCCACUUAAGAGAUCAUCAGAGUCAAGCUACAAGAAAAGGAGGAACAUAUCUCAGCAAAGACUUAGAGGACUAAUACUGUGAAAUCAAAAUUUCAAGUGAGGGAAUAAAUGCAGCUUUUAAUGAUUACUUAAAUGAAGUUUAACUCUAGCAGGAUCUACAAGAAAUUGGCAACCUUUGGCUUCAGUAACAGAAACUCAGGAUAUAUGUCCUUCAGUGCUUUUGGAUUCUGCAUCAUAUUGAGAGAGACUCCUUUAAACAAGCAAUAAGAAACUUCCUGUGACAACAUAAUAAAUUCAAAAAGUUCUGUUACUCAGACAAUUUAGAUAGAAGCGAGGACUUUGGCCUAGACAGCCCUGUUCACUCUAAAGAUGGACUAAACAA
Long non-coding RNA from Pan troglodytes (chimpanzee), 2157 nucleotides. RefSeq lists it as uncharacterized. The transcript has 4 exons. The record is from RefSeq and is a predicted model, not a curated record. NCBI's taxonomy places the organism in Eukaryota, Metazoa, Chordata, Mammalia, Primates, Hominidae.